Molecule: transfer RNA, 71 nt
Filed under: Capsicum annuum
Lineage: Eukaryota; Viridiplantae; Streptophyta; Magnoliopsida; Solanales; Solanaceae
Rfam family: tRNA
About the family: Transfer RNA (tRNA) molecules are approximately 80 nucleotides in length. Their secondary structure includes four short double-helical elements and three loops (D, anti-codon, and T loops). Further hydrogen bonds mediate the characteristic L-shaped molecular structure. tRNAs have two regions of fundamental functional importance: the anti-codon, which is responsible for specific mRNA codon recognition, and the 3' end, to which the tRNAs corresponding amino acid is attached (by aminoacyl-tRNA synthetases). tRNAs cope with the degeneracy of the genetic code in two manners: having more than one tRNA (with a specific anti-codon) for a particular amino acid; and 'wobble' base-pairing, i.e. permitting non-standard base-pairing at the 3rd anti-codon position.
Source: Rfam by way of RNAcentral
GGUGACAUGGCCGAGUGGUAAUGCAAAGGACUGCAAAUCCUUUUUUCCCAGUUCAAAUCUGGGUGUUUCCU